CUGUGUACAGGUUGGGGGAAGAGUUAGAGAAUUGGAUUCUACCAGGGUUCGAUGUUUUCCAGUCGGCCCUCCAACGGUCUGAGGGACAGUGAAUUGGCCCCCUGUUUAAAAAGUUUGAGGACACCUGGCCUAAAGGUUUGAGUUCUGAGGAUAAACACACACACACACAAUGGGAUAUCUACUCAGUGUGGGUCAUGGAGAGCCAGCUUUGGCAGAACAUAUGACUAUUCCUGACUACCCACUUUUUCCCCUGUAAGGUCCCUUCCAGGACAUUCCAGAGACAGCCAGACUCUGCCUUCAGGGCCUGCCUCCUAUACGUGGGGUCUUAAAGGAACAUCCCUUCAUGUGGACUCUGAGAAAGCUUCUUCAAACAUAAGUCAAUGGCACUCAAAGUCACAUUGAAGUUACAAUUCACUGACUGCAAGAACCCCUUUCUGCCUUUUCCAGCACUCGGUAAACCAUGGAUAAUAGAAACAGAAUGAUGAGAUGUCCUGUUCUUAGGUAUUCCUUGGCUCUUCCACUCCCAGAGGAGUGAUAGAAUGAAUGAGGGCAAUCAACCUGAUGGGACUGCUGAGAAGAUUACAUAGGUCAACUCCCACUACACCUAUUGAACCAUUCAAGAUAAGCCCCCGAGGUAUUUCUCCUUGAGCCUGUGAAGAACACUUUCAGGAUGAGGCCAGGAAAUCAAAACCCAGGGUUGGCACGCUUGGCAUUGAACCAUGUGGAGCAAAGCUGGGUUAGUGGUAGAAGGUGAGUGACAAUUCAUGGAGUCAGCCACCAUCCGUGCCUUCUCCCCAUCCAUGCCUUCUCCACCAUCCACCAUCCAUGCCUUCAUCCUAACCGUGCCUUCUCCAACCCUGACAUCUGUCAUAAGAGAGCCCAGGGCUGGAUGGGCCCUAAUUCUGACUCAGAAUAUAAAAUCCUAGAUCUGUUACAUUGGCGGUUCUACUAGACUUUAUAUUUGAAUUACAUUUUUGAAGUGGGUGUUUUGUGUUUUUAACUACUUAAAUAUAACUGUGUGCGAGAAAACACUCUUUAAAAGUAUUUUGAUGGAAAUCAUCUGUUCAUG
Long non-coding RNA from Nycticebus coucang (slow loris), 1069 nucleotides. RefSeq lists it as uncharacterized. Lineage: Eukaryota; Metazoa; Chordata; Mammalia; Primates; Lorisidae. The record is from RefSeq and is a predicted model, not a curated record. The transcript is spliced from 4 exons.